This 253-nucleotide ribosomal RNA is filed under the name uncultured bacterium. RNAcentral's name for it is "partial 16S ribosomal RNA". It matches the Rfam family "Bacterial small subunit ribosomal RNA", at positions 524 to 776 of the family's 1533-position model. The record is from RNAcentral.
UACGUAGGGGGCUAGCGUUGUCCGGAAUCAUUGGGCGUAAAGCGCGUGUAGGCGGUCCGGUAAGUCCGCUGUGAAAGUCGGGGGCUCAACCCUCGAAUGCCGGUGGAUACUGUCGGGCUAGAGUGCGGAAGAGGCGAGUGGAAUUCCUGGUGUAGCGGUGAAAUGCGCAGAUAUCAGGAGGAACACCGGUGGCGAAGGCGGCAUCCUGGACCGGCAUUGACGCUGAGGCGCGAAAGCCAGGGGAGCAAACGGG